AAUGUAUUAGAGUUAGCACUUCUUUGUGUCUUUUAAAGGUCUCUAUCAUCAUUCCGGAAACCCUGGCGAAGUAGUGGUUAAGAGCUACAGCUGCUAACCAAAAGGUCAGCAGUUUGAAUCCACCAGGCACUCCUUGGAAACCCUGUGGGGCAGUUCUACUCUGUCCUAUAGGGUUGCUAUGAGUCAGAAUCGACUCGAUGGCAAUGGUUUUUGGAUCACCAUUCCAGAGCACUGGUGGCACAGUGGUUAAAGCACUCAGUUGCUAACCGAAAAGUUGGUGGUUCGAACCCAGCAGCCGCUCCACAUGCGAAAGAUGUGGCGGUCGGCUAUCCUAAAGCUUAAAAAAAAAAAAAAUUGAAAUCCUGUGGGGCAGUUCUACUCUGUCUUAGAGGGUCACUGUAAGUUAAAAUUGACCUGACAGCAACUUCUCUUUUUUUAAAAUCACUAUUGCAAGAUCUAAAAUACUAAUCACUUUUUUUUUUUUUACUGAGCAUUUUAAUGUUCUGUUUUUGAUGUAAGCCCUUAAUCUACUUGGAGGUCAUAUCUGCAUAUAGUGGAAAUCCAAGGUCAUCUUUCUCCAAAUGAAUAACCAUUUUUUCCAGUCCCACAUAUUUAACAGUUGUCUGCUCCCCCACCUACCUAACAUUCAACCACAGCCAUGUUUCAAAGCUUCAUCAUUUGUGGGUCUUCUUCUGGGCUCCCUGACAUAUGCUACUGGCCAAUUUUUCUCUCCCUGCACCAGUGCAUACAAAUGUUAGAAUUAAUGCAUUAAGUUCCAUAAAAAACAAAACAAAACAAAACACUUUUUGGACUGUGAUUGGAAUUGCACUGACACCAUAGAUCAGGAGUCAACAAACUUCCUGUGAAGAGUCAGGAAAUAUUUAAGUUUUUGUUAGCCACCUUCAGUCUGUUUCUCCUCCCCCUUCUCCUUCUUUCCUCCUCCUCUUCGUCCUUCUUCUCCUCCUCUUCCUCGAACUCUUGAAACAUGUGAAAAUCAUUUUUAGCUUCAGGACCACCAAAACCAGAAUGUGGGCCAGGUUUGGUCUGUGGGUAUAGUUUCCUGACCUUGGCUAUAGAACAACUUUGGGAAAAUCAAUGCUUUUAUAAUACUGUCUUCUUAUCCAUAAGUAUGGUUCGGCUCUCCAUUUAUUUAGAAUUUCUUUAGUGUCUUAAAAUUUUUUUAUAAUUUCCCCCAUAGAGGUGUUGUUCUUGUUUUAUUAGACAUAUUCCUACCACCACCACCAGUUGCCAUCAAGUCAGUUCCUAUUCAUGAACCCCAUGUGUGUCAGAGUAGAACUGUGCUCCAUAGGGUUUCCAAAGGCUGACGUUUCAGAAGUAGAUCACCGGGCCUUUCUUCCGAGGCGCCUCUGGGUGGAUUUGAACCUCCAACCUUUUGGUUAGCAGCCAAACUAAUUAGUCAUUUAUAGCACUCAGGGACUCCUGUGUAUUUGGUAUUCUCCAAUACUAUUAAUAGUUAUGUCUGCUUUUAAAUCAGAUUCUCUAGUCAUAUUUGUUCUGGUAUAUAGAAAUGUGAUUGACUUGUAUAACAAGCUUAUAUCAGCAAGAUUUCUAAACUCUUUUAUUACUUCUUAUAGUUUUUUUUAAUAGAUUCUUUUGGGUUUCCCAUGUAAACAAUCACAUAAUCUGUUGGAUUUCAGCAUUUUUAUGUGUUGGUUCCCCAAGGUUCAAUCUCUAGGUAAAUGUGUCCUCACUGUGGGUUUACAUAUGUUUAACAAGUAUGAGACUCUAACACUGCUAUGCUUCCAUUUUGUCUUGAUGUUUUUUAGUCUCCACUUAUAACCCUGAAUGCCAAACAAGAAAUAAUCAUUUUUAUUUAUGAUUCAGAAAUGGAAGAGUAAUGAUUUUUCGAGCUAAUCUACUGUUUUCAAGGUGCCUUCAAACAUAUUAUUUUAUUUAAUUCUAAGAUUACUUCUGUAAGGAAGUGAACUAGAAGCCACUGAGACUAUGUGGGGCUCUAUGGUGGGUAACAUAUCAUAAGGUGCAACAAGGUGAAGGAACUCAAUUCACAUGCUCUUCUAAGAACUGAAACGUGUUCCCACUUCUGAUGGAACCGAAUAGUGCUUUGAACUAUGGAAGAUAAAAACAGACAAAAAAUAACUAGAGAUUAUGACAAAAUAUUUAGCAUGCUUUCUUAUUGCCACCAUAUGAGGGAGUGCAUAACACACGUAUGAUGGAAAGUCACCAUGAUGUCAAGACAUUUAAGCCUUAAUGCAAACUGAAGUUUCUCAUAGCUAUCCAAGAGGGCAGCUACUUCAUAUAAGGGUUUCCAUGAAGGAUAAUGCUGGAAUUCUGUUUCAAUUGAGAAUAUGAGGCGGAGUUGAUCACUUACUGGAUGAGAGACUUUAGAAGAUGUAGCACAACUAUCAGAUAACCCCGAUCUCUGCUCAUUUUGUCCUAUUUCCUCUUCCCAGUAUCUAUGCAAAAUAAAUUAAAUAAACUUGGGGCUCUACUUCCUUGGGCAAUUCAUUUCAAAAAAGAUGUGGUUUGUUUUGGGCGUUUCAAGCUCUGUAAUCAAUCAGAAAAUUUGCAUAUCUUACAAUAAGAUAAGGAGCCCUGGUUGCGCAGCUGUUAAGAGCUAUGGGGAGCUAUGGCGAGCUACGGCUGCUAACCAAAAAAGGUCAGCAGUUCGAAUCCACCAGUUGCUACUUGGAAACCCUAUAGAGCAGUUCUACCCUGUCCUAUAGGGUUGCUAGGAGUUGGAACCGACUCGACAGCACCCAACAACAACAACAACACAAUAAGACUGGAAUCCAAAGGAAGCCCACCUACUUGGUCUUCCCCACAGAAAGCAAACGGAAGUGAAACUCCUAAGGGCUGUGUGCUCAGUGAAAUGAUUUCUGUACGGCAUUUUAGCGAGGCAGUGGUGGGUCAGUGGUAGAAUUCUGGCCUUCCACACUGGAGACUUGUGUUAUAUUUCUGACCAAUGCACCUCAUUCUCAACCACCACAUGUCUGUCAGUGGAGGCUUGCAUGUUGCUAUGAUGCUGAACAGGUUUCAGCAGAGCUUCCAGGCUAAGAUGGACUAGGAAGAAAGGCUCAGAAAUCUACUUCUGAAAAUCAGCCAAUGGAAACCAUACAGAUCACAAUGGCCAAUCCACAGCCGAUUAUGGGGAUAGUGCAGGACUGGGUAGCAUUUUGUUCUGUUGUGCGUGGGGUCACCAUGAGUCAGGGGCAAUUCUAUGGCAGCUAACAACAACAACAACAUGGCACUAGUUGGAGUUUGCUUAGUACGAAAGUGUUUCUUAGACAAAGCUCACCUCAGUUUUGAAUUCAUCUUUCCACUGUCAUCUUACUUUUUUCACCACUCAUUUUAUUUCAGAGCUUCUCCUCAUGACCCUGUUUCAGCAAGCCUCUUGGAUAUCUACGUCUCCCAGCUCUUAUCCAACCUACACGUGCCAUCUGUAGGCCAUUAAAACAAAAAACACAUUCAAGCCAAAGUAUUAAUGGGUCAUGCUUUUAAAGGGACUCCUGGACAAGAAAAUGCCCUAGACCACAUUGGGGUGGCCCCUCCAAUUGUAGGUGUUCAGGCACUGUAGCAGACUAAGGGAAGGACAAUUUCACAUGCAGCUCAAAUCACAUCUCAGAGGCGCUGGAGCCCAAAUAGCCUUACUGUUCCACGGAGGUUGUGGGUGGCCCAGGGUGAUUUAAAAGACAAGAGGACAUACCAGACAUUCCUAACAGGAGAGUUCAUGGUUUUCAAACUGUGUUCCUUAGUAUCUAGGGAUUCUGUGGAAGAUCAAGGGUGAUAUGAACGGGGAAACCAAGACGAACAAGUAGGCAGGACUCUCCCCCUGCACUCCUCACGUCAACUAAUAAUACUUUACCCUUAAUAAUUAGAUUACUAUUAUUUGACUAAUAGUAAUGGAAGUAUAGUCCCUCUGUUACCUUUUAAUGAAUUGAAUUUCUAAUUAAGUUUAUUUUAAAAAGUUUUUUCCUAAAUUUUAUUUAUUUUGUUGCUGUUGUUGAGAAUAUACACAUAAAACGUACACCAAUUCAUCAGUUUCUGCAUGUACAAUUUAGUGACAUUGAUUACAUUCUUUGAUUUGUAUAACCAUUCUCACUCUCCUCUUUUGAGUUGUUCCUGCCUCAUUAACAUAAACUCACUGCACCCUGAGGUUCCCAUCUAAUCUUUUGAGUUACUGUUGUCAGUUCGAUCCCAUAUAGAUAGUUCUUAAAAGAGCAUAAUGCUCAUGGCAGGCCUUUUUUUUUACUAGUUAAGCUAAACUUCUGUUCACUUUUUUAAAAAAUGGUUUACUUAAAAAAAAAAUGGCAAGUGCUAUUUAAGCUCAUGUGCUCUGUGUCCAGGAAUCCCCAGUUAAAAUGUAGAUAUCUUUAAGCAAAAACUCAUUUGCCUGUCACUAUCUCAGGGGGCAUUAAUUAUCAAAUAGCUAAGCCUUGAAAAGCUGAGAGUUGGUUUUUGGAAGAGUGGGCUACAGAGAUGGAGCAUUUUGUUACGGGGACAGAAGAAAUAGAAAAAAAAAGAGUCAUGACAGUGGGGAAUGACUGGAGGUAAUGUCGAGUGUCAAAGGCAAAUUGGCCAGCUUCAUGAUUUGGCCUAUGAUGUGCCCUGUCACAGCCUGUAGACUUCAGGUUUUCAGAGCUUAAAGAUAUGUCACCUGUGUCUUGUUUAAUUCAUCACAUUUGAUAAUCUGUCAGCAUUCCUGACUGUAUCACAAUGAUAGCUUAUCCCUUACCUCACUGCAGUCAUAUACAUCUCAAAUUAAUAAUGAAAGAUUAUACCACAAUGGGAGCCCACUGACAUAGUGAGUGGAGUAUGUUGAAUUCUCAUUUCCAAUUUUUCACCUUUUCUUGCAUCCAUGCCCAUUGCAUUGUAACUUUGCACGUCCUUUCACGAAAAGAGGGCUAUACUUCCUAGCCCCCGACUUUAAACUUGACCAUGUGACUUGCUUUGGCCAAGGGGAUGUGGGUGUAAGCAACACUGCACCAGCUUCGAGGCUAGGACUUAUGAGGUCUUGUAUGUUUCACUUACCCUUUGUACUUCUGACAUCACCACGAGAAGACCAUGGUCCAGCUAGCCUGCUGAUCCCAGAAGGAUGAGAGAUAUGUGGACCAAAAGGAUCCAACCUGCAGCUUGGAGACGCCCAGCUUAGCCCAGACAAGAUCAGCUGUGCCAUCUCAGCUGAUGAAUUUUAGAAUGAAUACCAAAUCCCUGGAGUGGCCACGCCCUCUUCCCUUACUGAGGCAACUCCCUUCUGUUGGACUUCCAUUUUCAUAAAGAGAAAGCCCUCAGGAGAAUGGCAGCUGGGCUGAAGCAGCUGUGAGAGGCUUUAUGGUUGCAGGAAAGCUAAGAGAUGAAAGGGAAGCAAGCAGAGAGAUGGGGACUUCAUACCACCAAAAAAGCUGUGCCGGGAGCACGACGCAUCCUUUGGACCUGAGGUUCCUGUGCUGAGAUGCUCCCAGACCAAGGGAAGACUGAUGAGAAGGACCUUCCUCCAGAGCCGACAGAGAGAGAAAGCCUUCCUUUCCCCUGGAGCUGACACCCUGAAUUUGGACUUGUAGCCUACUUUACUGUGAGAGAAGAAACUUCUCUUUGUUAAAACCAUCCACUUGUGGCAUUUCUGUUAUAGCAGCACUAGAUGGCUAAGACAAGUACUGAUUCUUACCUUCAAGCACAUGUUACCUAGAGCCACUUAUUCAGAUAUUCUUCCAUGUCUUUCAGGGAAGUUGCAUGUUUUUUUCAUGCAUCGUAAACAAUUUUAUUCUUGGUGUGUUCAUAGGCUUUUUUUUUUUUUGCAGUUGUAAAUGAAAUCUUUUUUGUCAUUGCAUUUCCUAAUUGAUUAUUACUCAUGUGUUAGAAAAUUGCUCAUUUUGGGUGUUUAUCUUAUUCCUUGCUACCUUCCUUUUAAAAUUAAUUAAAAUUAAUUUUAAUUAGUUAAAAUUUGAUUUUCCUGAAUUUUUCGGAAGACAAAAAACUCCUGUGCAAAUUAUACUUGUUUUGAUUUCUCCUUUCCAGCAUUUAUACAUUACAUUUCUCUUUCAAGUUUUUUUUUUUUUAACAUUGGCUGGAAUUGAUAAUCCAGUGUGGAAUUUGAUAGAAGGCGUUCUUGGCUUAUUCUUUACUGAUCAGAGAGGUUCUAAUGAUUUCCCUUAAGUGUGAAAUGUCUUGUAGGUUUAGGGAAGCCUUGUGUUUCUAGAAUGCUAAAUUUUAAUUUUGUCGAAAAGCAAGGAUGGUUGAAUUUUAUCAUGUUCUCAACAUCUAUUAAAGAUGAUCAUGUCUUUCCUCCUUUUUUUCUAUUAAUGCAUUAUAUUUCAUUCUUAUACUUCUAAUGUUGAAUCACCAUUUUAUUCUUGGGAUAAACCUUGUAAAGUUUUAAUGUAUUAUUCUUUUAAUGCAUUGAUUUGAUAAUGUUUUAUUCAUAUUUCAUCUAUAUUGAUAGAUAAGUUUUCUGUGUGUGUGUGUAUUGUGUCUUUUCUGAAUUUGGUAUCUAUUUGAUCUUCUAAAAUUAAAUACUUAUGCUCGUCAAAAGACUUCACCAAAAGAGUGAAAUGAGAACUUACAGACUGGGAAAAAAUUUUGGGCUAUGAUAAAUCCGACAAAGGUCUGAUCUCUAAAAUCUACAAGAAAAUUCAACACCCCUACGACAAAAAGACAAAUAAUCCGAUUAAAAAAUGGGCAAAGGAAAUGGACACUUCACCAAAGAAGACAUUAAAGCAGCCAACAGACACAUGAGGAAAUGCUCACAAUCACUAGCCAUUAGAGAAAUACGAAUUAAACCCACAAUGAGAUACCAUCUCACCCUGGCAUUACUGGCACACACACACACACACAACCAAAAAAACAGGAAAUAAAAAUGUUGGAAAGGCUACAGGGAGAUUGGAACUCUUAAGCACUGCUGGUGGGGAUACAACCAUUUUGGAAAAACAAUAUGGUGCUUUCCUUAGAAAGCUAGAAAUAGAAAUACCAUAUGAUUCAGCCAUCCCGCUCCUAGGAAUAUAUCCUAGAGAAAUAAGAGCCGUCACGCUAAUAGACAUACACACAUCCAUGUUCACUGCAGCAUAGUAAAAGGAUGGAAACAUCUUAGAUGUCCACCAACAGAUGAAUGGAUGAACAAACUAUGGUACAUAUACACAAUGGAGUAUUACACAAUGAUAAAGAACAAUGAUGAAUCUGCGAAGCAUCUCACAACAUGGAUGACUCUGGAGGGCAUUGUGCUGAGUGAAAUAAGUCAAUCACAAAAGGACAAAUAUUG
This is a long non-coding RNA of Loxodonta africana (African savanna elephant), 7231 nucleotides long. RefSeq lists it as uncharacterized. Lineage: Eukaryota; Metazoa; Chordata; Mammalia; Proboscidea; Elephantidae. The record is from RefSeq and is a predicted model, not a curated record. The transcript has 7 exons.